RNA transcript from Cuculus canorus (common cuckoo), 7901 nucleotides. It is a transcript of the gene named prominin 1, with no coding region annotated. The record is from RefSeq and is a predicted model, not a curated record. The transcript has 30 exons. NCBI's taxonomy places the organism in Eukaryota, Metazoa, Chordata, Aves, Cuculiformes, Cuculidae.
GGUUAAGCCCCGCACGCCCCUCCUCCGCCUCCUCCCCUGCCGCGGUGGUCCCGCAGCUCCGCGGCGCUCGGAGCCGGCAGCCAGCCCGGCCGUUCCCCGCGGCGGGCGGCACGGGGUUCUGCCCGGAGGAGGAGGAAGUCAAAACUCGUUGCUAAUUUGGCGUUGGCCCCAGCUUUGCCUGACCCUGCGUUUGAGGUAUCAAACCGAGCAGAGGUGAUUACAGAAGAAGAGGAAUCCGUUCAGCACGGAUCAUACUUCACACGAGGCGCUAUAAUCCUCAAAGAACACUGUCUGAAAAAGCAGUCUGGAAGAAAACAUGCGAUCAGAGGGAUAUUCUGCCUAACAUUCAAAAGAUACAGUUACUGAGAUGAAAAUUAACUCUGCUUUAGCUUAAAUCAAAAAUACUCCGCUUUCUGUAAUAGUGACUACUAUCGGAGCAGUUGGAGAAACUACCACAGCGAGAUGGUCCACUGAGUCAUUUCUAUGAGGAGCUUCUGUACUACCACUACAAAGCAAGAAUACAUUAAAGAAAAAAAGGUGUGAGGGUGCACCAGCAUUUUCUGGCUAGAAAGCUAACCGCCAAGUGAAGGUAUUGAAGAUUUCUAGACUUGCUGGGACAAAUAUCUCUACCUCCAGUUUUAUGAAUACUGCUAGCUAUGGCUGUGGAACUCUGUCUGCUGCUGCUGCUGUUUUGUGGAAGUACAAUUUCAGAGGUACAGCCUAUAUACAAACCUCCUCCUGGGACUUUGGAUUUUGGAUUUGUACCAGCCAAGACGUAUGAUACAGGUGCAUACCAUGAACCUGGGCCAAUAGGAAUUCUGUUUAAAAUAGUACAUGCAUUCCUGUACUUGGUGCAGCCAAAUCCUUUUCCUCAAGAUCUCAUCAGAAAACUGGCACAGCAGAAGUUUGGAAAUACACAGGGUGAUUAUCAAAAGCCAGAAAAUGUUGUCCUGACUCUUCAGGCUAUCUACUAUGAAAUCGGUUUUAUAGUCUCCGCAGCCUUGGGAUUGCUAUUUAUUUUGUUACUGCCUCUUGUGGGACUUUGCUUCUGUAUGUGUCGUUGCUGUGACAACUGUGGUGGGGAAAUGCAUCAAAGACAGAAGAAAAAUGCUGACUGUCAGAGGAGCUGUUUUGCAACAUUUCUUUUUGUUGCUUCUUUAAUAAUAAGUGUUGGAGUGCUCUGCGCUUAUGCUGCCAACCAGCAUUUAACUAACCAAGUCAGAGGAGCAAAGAAACUGGUUAACAGUAACUUUAAAGAUCUGAAAACAUUCCUUAAUGACACUCCAGCGCAAAUUGACUACUUGGUGAGCCAGUACAACACAACUAAGGAUAAAGCACUCUCUGACCUAAAUAAUGUUGGACCUCUGCUUGGAAGUAGAGUUCAAGAACAGCUGGGAAAAGAAGUACGUCCCGCGCUUGAUGCGGCUCUGACAAUGGCAGGAGUCAAAGUGGAAAGGGCUAUCAAAGCCAUCAGAGAGACAAAGGAAGCACUGGAAAAUGUGAGCGUCUCUGUAGAGGUUUUGCAAGAGGGAACAGAGAGGCUUCAUGCAAACUUGACAGACGUUAAAAUGCAUCUAAGCAACACCCUCAAUGAUUCUGCAUGCUCUGCAGAUCAGGCUGCUUCAACUUGCAAUAUCAUUAGGAAUUCAUUACAUCAGCUGGACAUCAAUGCCAAUUUUAGUGGGUUGCCGGGAGUGAGCUCACAGCUUGCCAAAGUCAAUGAUGUUCUUAAAAUAGACCUUUCUAGUCUGGUUCAAAAGGGUUAUGCAGCAUUUAAUGAUACUCCAGACUUAGUGGUGAAUCAAACCAGAAACAUUUUAUCAGAUAUCAAAAAUGUGCUGGAAUCCAUUGGUUCGAAUAUUACUACCUUCACAAAAACACUCCCUGUUCAGAAGAUUUUAGCAGAUUUGAUGAUAUAUCUUACACAGAGUGAAACAUACGUUCAAGAUUAUUUUCCAGUAGUAGAGCAGUAUGAUUUCUACAGGUGGCUGGGUUGUCUCAUUCUGUGCUGCAUGGUGGUCCUGAUUCUUAUCUUUUACUAUCUUGGAUUGCUAUGUGGCACCUGUGGUUAUGAUAAACAUGCUUCUCCAACAACCAGAGGCUGCAUCUCCAACACUGGAGGAAACUUUCUUAUGGCUGGUGUUGGAUUCAGUUUUCUUUUCUCCUGGGUGCUGAUGGUUGUAGUGGUGCUUACGUUUGUCACAGGUGGAAAUGUAGAAAAACUUGUCUGCGAGCCCUUUGAAGAUAAAACUGUGUUCAAGGUUUUGGAUACUCCCUACUUGCUAAAUAAACACUGGAAAAACUAUCUUUCCGGCAUCCUGUUUAAAAAUCCCAAUAUUAACUUGACUUUUGAAAAAGUGUACAGUGAUUGCAAGGAGAACAAAGGAAUUUAUACUUCCCUUCAUCUCGAACACCUUUUCAAUAUCAAUGAAUUUCUAAAUAUUAGUAUGUAUACAGAAGAUGUAGCACUUAAAAUUGAACAUAUUCAGAUAAACCUCAGUAAAAUCAUUCUGCUGGAUGAAACUGGGAAGGAAAACCUGCUGAAUUUCAGUUCUUCAGGAAUAGAAGGGAUAAACUUUUCAGCAUAUUUGACAGAGAUCAAUAAAAGUGUUACCAAGGUUGAUCUUCUGUCAUUUGCUAAUGACUUAGAAGCAAGAGCAGACCAGCUGCCAAAAGGAGCACUGGAAAAUGCCUUAAAAGGACAUGCAAACAACAUUCGAACGAUUCAUAACCAGCAAGUUGUUCCACUAGAGCAAGCUAUGACUGUCAAGAAAUAUGUUAAAGCUAGGAGCACUUUAAAUCAGAGCGUUAGGUUACUGAAGAGGACAUCAUCUGAACUUAUGGUUAAGGUGAAAAAUGUCAUUAGUGCAGUUAAUGCUGCCCAGCUUCUCAUAAAUAACAACGCUUCUCUAGUUGUUGUCCAGGAGACAAAAAAGUACAUGGAUACCAUUGUUGGCUACUUUGAGCAAUAUGUUGAGUGGGUCAAGGAGUCGAUUGCCAUGGAGGUAGCAGCGUGCAAGCCUAUUGCCAAUGUGGUAGAUACAACAGUAGAUAUUUUUUUAUGCAGCUAUAUCGCUGAUUCUGUGAAUACCUUCUGGUUUGGUUUGGGAGGUUCUUCAAUGUUUUUAAUUCCUGCCAUAAUUUUUGCUGUAAAACUCUCUAAAUACUAUCGUAGAAUGGAUACAGAGGAUGUAUAUGAUGAUUCCUCUGUCUCAGGGACUUGGCAUUUUACUUUAUGAUAACUAUUCUUACAUAUUUUCCCGUCAGUGUUUUUUUCUUUUCUACUCUUGCAUAUUGUUUAGUUAGCCUGUGCACUGCAUUCCUCAAACUUCACACUGGUCAUUUUUUUCAUUACACAUUCACAAGACAGGAGAGCAGAAACAGGCCUGUACAGCUAAAAUUAUCCACUUGCUAGUGUCCAGUUAAUUACUCCUCCUUUUCUGUGUUUUUUAGUGUUGAAACUAUACUCAUGAAAACGUAAGGCCUUUUUUCUGGUAUUUGUUAAAAUUCUUUUAUUCACAUGGGGGGGGUUAUAUAUUUAAUGUAACUUGAUACUUCAAAAGAGGUAACGUGUUCUGUUUCACCAGACUUUAUAAUAGAGUAUCCAACUCGACAAGAAGAGCGAAAUAAUUAACUAACUUUUGGAAAAUAUAAAAAUAUUUAAAAUGUAAAAUUAUAAUUAUGCCAUAACUUCUGAAUGUUACAAAGGAAAAGUUAUCUUCUAUUGUACAGACAGAGUUUAUCUUUACAUAUAAUACCAUCAUCCAUGGACAUGUCUUAGAAGCCAUACUGUACAUAGUGCAUCUUAUAGUUAACAUAGUCUUUAUUGGUGUAUUUAUUUUAUUACAGUACAGGAAAUUGUAAUAAUGGUUAUCAUAAAGAGCAUUUAUAUGGUAUACACAAUCCUGUUUUUACAAGCUCUGUGGAACAGUGGUAACGCAUACUGGAAACAGUAAGGGGUUAUAUAAAUGAGGCUCAAGAUUCUUCUACAGGAAUAUAUCAUUAUUCCUCCAAGUGUAUUGGCACUUGCAUUCAUCUUCCAAAUCCUGAGCUGCUUGUUUUAUGUCACCCGUACUGUAAAUCCCAAAUGUACUAUUGAAUGUUAUGCCAUAAACUACUGUACAGAAUAUUUUGCAGUCAAGGCACUGCCUCUCAAAUACCACUGUUCAAGGCUUGAAUUACAAUGGGUUUUGUUUUUUUACUUUUUUUACACUGGGCUUUCUACCUUACAUCACAGUAUGUAAACUAAUUAGAUUAACAGCCUUUGCCUAGUAUUCCUCUGACAAACCGGUCAAGUUCUUAUCUUAAAUUGUUGAUUUGUGUUAAAUACAGUACAUACACGUUUACAUAAAAAUACAUUUUGUAUACAGAGACUUUUGUAUAUUCAUUUUUCUUAAAACUUACAUGUGUUUAGUUGAGAUUUUAAUAUUGUAUAAUAAUCUCACAAAUGAAUUUACCAGCAUGCUCAGUGUUGCUAUUUGGUGCUCUUGAAUGACCACUUUGGACUAAAUUCAUGGGAUCCACAAUGUCUCCUUGUGUGUCUGAAAAGUUCAGUUGCAGUUUUGUUUUCUCCCUCUUUUUUUCAAUUAUUUUAUAAUUAGUGGGUUUUGCGGUAUAGACCUAAAAGAGACUUUUUGGAGUUGGCUCUAUUGAAACUCUUUGGGUGGGAGGGUUGGGAAUGUGUGUGAUGCUCAAUAUAGUGCAAAAGCUAAGCUUUCUAAAGUUCAGUAGUACUCAAAACGAGCAUGAGAGAUGUCAUAUGUUGGUGAUUUUUAGAAUGCUUUACAUUCUCUGUUUCCCUUUUCCUCAUUCACACCCACUUCUGUGGUGUCCUUAAUAGUAUCACUGUUAAUCUGUGGCUCUUUCAGGGGGCAGUGACACUGUUUUUGCUAAAUAAUUUCAAAAUAUGAUUUCCGUUAUUGAAAUGCAAAAGUUUUUAGCAAUUGGAGUUAACAUUUGUUCUGUUAGAGUUAUUGCCUUGAAUUUAGGCAUACAGUUGCAAUGCUGCAUUAGUUAGCAGAAUUCAUCAACAGGAUGAAAAGUAUCUGUGUUGGUAGUGUAAAACAUUGCAGCGGGUGAAGUAAUUGGAUAUAUUGGUCUAAAAUAGUGUAUCUUCAUAUAUCAGUAUUGUUAACUUUGUUUCCAGCCAGAUUCAUUAACUUGAAGUAAAUCCCUUAAAUCGUUCGUGUAAUUUUAAAGAAGUGCUGUAAAGAGAAACCAAUCUUUAAUCUGGAGUAACCUUAAAUUUUUCAUUUUUGGGUCAUAAAUGGAAACAUUUCUAAUUGAUGGUAUGUAGCAUAUGUGUAUAUGUAAUGUUCAGAACUGCAGAUUUUUAAAAGUUUCUAUUUUUAAUUUGAGAAAAUGUUCCAAAUUCAUUUAAAUAAAAAAGAACUUGCUUAAUUACCUGAUGUUUGAAUCUCAGUUGUUUUGUUGUAUAGACCUGACUCAGAAGAGCUGCACUGAGUUAAAGUCUUGCAAAAAUUGGGGGGAGGGGAGUCUCUAAUAAAAUGUUUCUGCUAUAUUUGACCUUUAUUGAUAACUUUAGCUUAAGCAAGAUAAGUGACCAAAAGUUGAAGCAGGAAGGACUGAAAGAGUAUUGACUCUGGGCGAAGGAGCUUCCAGUUUCCACAAAGGAUGUGAUUUAUGCAAAGAUGGUAAGAUUCAAGCUGGUGCUUUAGGUGUUACUGCUUGUCCCUGUUGUUGUUUCUGUAGCACUGACUGCAGAAUUAAAUGUUUGCCAGUUCUUCAGCUCCUGUAGUUCACUGCUGCCGUCCUAGCUUAACUUGUGAAAGGAUCGUUGUUUUCCACUGAUAUAACAGACCAUGAGCUGUUUCAUCUGAAAUGCAGGCAGCCAGAGGACACAAACAUUAGAUGGGAGUGAAACUCUUGGCAGUAACAUAUUAAUUGUAAUACAUAAAUACACUAGAGCUCUUGAGUCCAGGCUUUGGUAUUUAACCUUAUGCUUGUUUGAUUUGUUUUCAUGAUUACACUUUAAAAACUUUUAGAACUAGAGAUCCAAAACUGCUAUAAAGUAACUUUUAAGUUGUUUCGAACUCUAACCAUUAUUAAAACAAGAGAGUUUAAUGCCUUUAGUUUCUAAUCUAGGAACUGUCAUUGCUGUUGUGCAUAACCAAGUGUAAAUAAUACAUUUGUUUGUAAAAUAUUAGGAGAUCCCUGAGUGCUUGCAGUAGGGAUUUCAAAUCCUUGAAAUCAAGUGUGAGGUGGGCAACAAGAUUGUUCAGUCUGGCUGGGUGACGGAUGAGAAGACUCCCCAGAAAACAAAAGUGAAUUGUAAAUCUUCUUAGUAGACUUGUACCAUUGUUGUUUCUCCUGAGAUUUGGCAGGAGAGCCACACCACUGUACUUCAAGAAAGAGUUAGAAGAAGAAACAAAUGGCAAGGAGGUAGAAAUGAGGACUGUACUAAAAAUCUUCUUAAAAUAGCCUUAAAGAAGACAUGAAAAGAAACAAGUUUUUCUCCAUCAAAUGAUAUUGUGUCAUGGCAAACUUGAUGACAUAUUCACUGGAAGAACAAGAUUCAGGUGCCAGAUAGGGCUACCAGGAACAGCCAGUCUUCAAGGAGGCAGCUCUCCGACUAUGUGGCGUGCCACAGCAGCUGGAGACUUUGUUGUUGAGUAUUAGAGAAGCAUUUUUUGCAAUUAUGUUUUUCUGGUUCACUGUCUAUUUUAAAUGAAGGUUUUUGUCUCGGUAAUUUCUUUAGCAACACCUAUUUGUAGAUCUGUCUAGAUAUACGACAUAGUAUUUUAUUUAAUUGUGCACGGCCAUUCUUAAACCUGGAGCUUCUAUAACACCGUAAUUAUUCAAGGAUACCUGAAUAAUACAAUACCCCUUCCAGAAGCUGUUCAGGUCAGGCUGGAUGUAGCAUAUGUGUCUUUUUGUAUUAGAAAAGUACUGUUGCAUGCAGCAACGUGGGAGGAAUUUUUCCAUGUGACCUUCUGAAUGCCAAGGGAAUUGCCAUGAUUGUCCUUAGCUCUGCUUUUAGAUACUGCAGCAGAAACUGCUACUGCAGGAUUCUGUACUGAAAUAUUUCUACUCUCCUGCCUUUGUUUUAUGGCACAGGAAAAUAUGAAAAAUAAAAAGUGAAAGGUCAUAAAGAAGAAAUAUCUGUCUGAUAUGGUCUUGGGUCUAUUCCCUGUUGCUGAGACCCAUGAUAAGCUGGUUCUCUUGUCUUACACUGUUGGCUGAAAACAACCCAUGGUGUGACAGUGGUGUUAAAACUUCCAAAUGUUUGAUUUAUAUUUAGGUCUUUAAUACCUUAUUUUGCGAAAGCUUUUGUACUUAUUGUACUUAAAUAUUGCAAGUCUAAAAGUUGAUUCUUCCAUGUGUCCUCGCUGCAUGUUGUGCUAACAGAAUGGAGUACUAAAGUUGCACACUCUACAAAUCCACAGAAAGCCUGUUCCACAAAUCAGCCCUUGUUAGUAGGACAUGUUUAGAAUAAUCCAGAUGUAGCUGCAUAGAUUGCUUUGGCAUUUUUAUCUUUUUUUACUUUAAUAUGGUCUUACAAGCUCUGGCAUGAAGUUGGCUAUAAAGCAGCUGGAGAAUGGAAAGUAUCUGUUAAAAAUCGAAUAUGACAUGUUCAUCCUGGAUAGGAAUGUGCUUCUCGGUUAUACAACUAAAGUUCUGUAUUUAACUGCAUUUACAAGAUUUGUCUUGCUACCUACCUGGGAGUUCACAGGUUAUUUGACUCUCCCUUGGGCUAUAAAUUAUGGGUACAUGCCUACUGAAGUGUGAUUUAUUACUUUUAUAAAAAAAACCCCAAACCCUUACAUCCCGUGUUUCGCUGGAAAGAGACUUCUUUGUGCACCAAGGCUUUAAAUUGUGAGCAACCACUUAACUGCUUUCACUUUUUCGGAUUGUAUUGCUCAAGGUUCUCAGUCAGCUCC